GACGAACGCUGGCGGCGUGCCUAACACAUGCAAGUCGAACGGUAAGUGCCGGCGUUUGUGGGCUGCCCGAGUGGCGAACGGGGGAGUAACACUUGAGUAACUUGCCUUUGCCUUUGGGAUACCUUCAGGAAAGUGGGGUUAUUCCCGAAUAGGAGCCCUUGCUGCAUGUUUGGGGAUUGAAAGUCGCGACGGUUGGGAAUGGAAUCGCGGGUUCUCAGCUUGUUGGUGGGGGGGUGCCUUACCCAGGCUUUGACGGGUAGCCGGCCUGGGAGGGUGACCGGCCACAUGGGGAAUGAGAUACGGCCCAGGCUCCUACGGGAGGCAGCAGUGGGGAAUAUUGCACAAUGGGCGGAAGCCUGAGGCAGCAACGCCGCGUGCGGGAUGACGGCCUUCGGGUUGUAAACCGCUUUCGCCUGUGACGAAGCGUGAGGGACGGUAAUGGGUAAAGAAGCACCGGCUAACUACGU
This 467-nucleotide ribosomal RNA is filed under the name uncultured bacterium. Its description in RNAcentral is "partial 16S ribosomal RNA". It matches the Rfam family "Bacterial small subunit ribosomal RNA", at positions 28 to 506 of the family's 1533-position model. The record is from RNAcentral.